RNAcentral lists this ribosomal RNA (1542 nucleotides) under Escherichia coli. Its description in RNAcentral is "bacterial SSU rRNA". It matches the Rfam family "Bacterial small subunit ribosomal RNA". Lineage: Bacteria; Pseudomonadati; Pseudomonadota; Gammaproteobacteria; Enterobacterales; Enterobacteriaceae. The record is from RNAcentral.
UUGAAGAGUUUGAUCAUGGCUCAGAUUGAACGCUGGCGGCAGGCCUAACACAUGCAAGUCGAACGGUAACAGGAAACAGCUUGCUGUUUCGCUGACGAGUGGCGGACGGGUGAGUAAUGUCUGGGAAACUGCCUGAUGGAGGGGGAUAACUACUGGAAACGGUAGCUAAUACCGCAUAACGUCGCAAGACCAAAGAGGGGGACCUUCGGGCCUCUUGCCAUCAGAUGUGCCCAGAUGGGAUUAGCUAGUAGGUGGGGUAACGGCUCACCUAGGCGACGAUCCCUAGCUGGUCUGAGAGGAUGACCAGCCACACUGGAACUGAGACACGGUCCAGACUCCUACGGGAGGCAGCAGUGGGGAAUAUUGCACAAUGGGCGCAAGCCUGAUGCAGCCAUGCCGCGUGUAUGAAGAAGGCCUUCGGGUUGUAAAGUACUUUCAGCGGGGAGGAAGGGAGUAAAGUUAAUACCUUUGCUCAUUGACGUUACCCGCAGAAGAAGCACCGGCUAACUCCGUGCCAGCAGCCGCGGUAAUACGGAGGGUGCAAGCGUUAAUCGGAAUUACUGGGCGUAAAGCGCACGCAGGCGGUUUGUUAAGUCAGAUGUGAAAUCCCCGGGCUCAACCUGGGAACUGCAUCUGAUACUGGCAAGCUUGAGUCUCGUAGAGGGGGGUAGAAUUCCAGGUGUAGCGGUGAAAUGCGUAGAGAUCUGGAGGAAUACCGGUGGCGAAGGCGGCCCCCUGGACGAAGACUGACGCUCAGGUGCGAAAGCGUGGGGAGCAAACAGGAUUAGAUACCCUGGUAGUCCACGCCGUAAACGAUGUCGACUUGGAGGUUGUGCCCUUGAGGCGUGGCUUCCGGAGCUAACGCGUUAAGUCGACCGCCUGGGGAGUACGGCCGCAAGGUUAAAACUCAAAUGAAUUGACGGGGGCCCGCACAAGCGGUGGAGCAUGUGGUUUAAUUCGAUGCAACGCGAAGAACCUUACCUGGUCUUGACAUCCACGGAAGUUUUCAGAGAUGAGAAUGUGCCUUCGGGAACCGUGAGACAGGUGCUGCAUGGCUGUCGUCAGCUCGUGUUGUGAAAUGUUGGGUUAAGUCCCGCAACGAGCGCAACCCUUAUCCUUUGUUGCCAGCGGUCCGGCCGGGAACUCAAAGGAGACUGCCAGUGAUAAACUGGAGGAAGGUGGGGAUGACGUCAAGUCAUCAUGGCCCUUACUUACGACCAGGGCUACACACGUGCUACAAUGGCGCAUACAAAGAGAAGCGACCUCGCGAGAGCAAGCGGACCUCAUAAAGUGCGUCGUAGUCCGGAUUGGAGUCUGCAACUCGACUCCAUGAAGUCGGAAUCGCUAGUAAUCGUGGAUCAGAAUGCCACGGUGAAUACGUUCCCGGGCCUUGUACACACCGCCCGUCACACCAUGGGAGUGGGUUGCAAAAGAAGUAGGUAGCUUAACCUUCGGGAGGGCGCUUACCACUUUGUGAUUCAUGACUGGGGUGAAGUCGUAACAAGGUAACCGUAGGGGAACCUGCGGUUGGAUCACCUCCUU